GUCUACAACCAUACCUCCCUGAAAGGGCCCAAUCCUAUCUGAUCUUGGAAGCUAAGCAGAGUCAGGCUUAGUUAUUGCUUGGAUGGGAGAGUAGUAAAUC
Ursus americanus (American black bear) is the source of this 100-nucleotide ribosomal RNA. NCBI's taxonomy places the organism in Eukaryota, Metazoa, Chordata, Mammalia, Carnivora, Ursidae. The record is from Ensembl.